UGUGGUCCAGUGAUUUUAAAAGUUUUCAAAU
RNAcentral lists this non-coding RNA (31 nucleotides) under Mus musculus (house mouse). Lineage: Eukaryota; Metazoa; Chordata; Mammalia; Rodentia; Muridae. The record is from RNAcentral.